UACGUAGGGUGCAAGCGUUAAUCGGAAUUACUGGGCGUAAAGCGUGCGCAGGCGGUGAUGUAAGACAGGUGUGAAAUCCCCGGGCUUAACCUGGGAACUGCAUUUGUGACUGCAUCGCUGGAGUGCGGCAGAGGGGGAUGGAAUUCCGCGUGUAGCAGUGAAAUUCGUAGAUAUCGGGAGGAAUACCAGUGGCGAAGGCGCUGGGCUGGACGGUCAUUGACGCUGAGGUGCGAAAGCGUGGGAAGCAAACAGG
RNAcentral lists this ribosomal RNA (253 nucleotides) under uncultured bacterium. RNAcentral's name for it is "partial 16S ribosomal RNA". It matches the Rfam family "Bacterial small subunit ribosomal RNA", at positions 524 to 776 of the family's 1533-position model. The record is from RNAcentral.